Molecule: long non-coding RNA, 911 nt
Organism: Crotalus tigris (Tiger rattlesnake)
Lineage: Eukaryota; Metazoa; Chordata; Lepidosauria; Squamata; Viperidae
Exons: 4
Source: RefSeq, a predicted model, not a curated record
CACGAGUCAUAAAAGAGCCAAGGUUGCCUACCCCUGGGUCAAACUAAAGGAAGAGCACGUCUCCAGACGCUGCAGUCUGAAGGCCCAGCCGGACUGCAUCCGAGAAUCACGUGGCGAUCCGAAAGAAGCCUCACAAUAACUUGGCUCUUGCUAUGUGCCACUCAGAAGCUUCAACUGAUUCAGAAAACAGUGGGAUGGGCAGCAGCGGACAUGACUUGCUAUGCUCAACUAACACCCCUGCUCGAAACUUAUAAAUUGCACAUCUUCCAUAGAUGGCAAAAAACUCUCAGGAGGAUCACUCUUACAAUACUGAAGCAACUACAAAAGAAGGGAAAUGAAACACAAUGGAAAGGACUUAUACAACGUUUGAACAUAAGAAUUCAGUUUUUCCUGAUUGCUCCCAUAUAACUAAAUAAUGGAAGAUUAGAUUUCCUUUGGCUCUCACACUUUAAAAGUAUGGGAAAGGCGAUUGGCUGGCACAUUUACAUAACACCAAAGAAUCUUGAAGAAUAUUUUAUUUAAGGUUGUUUUCCUCACUUUGGUUUCCAUUUUUAAACUGAAUAAACAAAUUCUUAAGAUAUCACCCCCAAAAAAGAUCUUUUGGGACAAAAAUAUUAAAAUUGCUAUUUAAAAUGUGUAUCUUUCUCCAUAUUGGUUGCUGUGUAAUUUUUGUUUGCUGUCCUGUGUUACUUUUAUUUUCAACAUUUUGUUGAUAUACUAACUAGAAAGUGGGGGAUUGAAAAAGAAAUAAAUUAUCUCUGGUAUUCCUAUACUAAGCAUUUUGUUGGGAAAAACAGAAAAUAAAAUCACUAGAAAACCUGAUUAAAUUGAGACUUGGUUAUACUGCAGUGAUUCACUUGACAACUGUGGCAAGAAAUGUCGUAAAAUGGAACAAAAUUCACUUAACAAUU